UACGGAGGGGGCUAGCGUUGUUCGGAAUUACUGGGCGUAAAGCGCACGUAGGCGGCUUUGCAAGUUAGAGGUGAAAGCCCGGGGCUCAACUCCGGAAUUGCCUUUAAAACUGCAUCGCUAGAAUUGUGGAGAGGUAAGUGGAAUUCCGAGUGUAGAGGUGAAAUUCGUAGAUAUCGGGAGGAACACCGGUGGCGAAGGCGGCGACCUGGGUCGAUACUGACGCUGAGGUGCGAAAGCGUGGGGAGCAAACAGG
RNAcentral lists this ribosomal RNA (253 nucleotides) under uncultured bacterium. Its description in RNAcentral is "partial 16S ribosomal RNA". It matches the Rfam family "Bacterial small subunit ribosomal RNA", at positions 524 to 776 of the family's 1533-position model. The record is from RNAcentral.